ACCAAGAAGAUGAGCUCUUCCAUUAUUACACACAGACCAUAAUAAUAUAGCAAUAGUUUCUUGUCAUACCCUUUUCUCUCUUUUUUCUUUGCAAGAAAGAAGAAGGGGGUUAUGAUAAUACAGCUAAUAGGAGUAUAUUAAAAAUAAAAGAGGUGGGUUAAUUUUAUGAGCUGAUGCUGAAAUUGUGUACCUCAAAUAAUAACAUGGAUCUUGGGAAUUCUUGGAAUAGUAGUAGCAGUGUCAGCUCCCAUACUUGUUUAAGUAUAGAUUUCAGUUACUUCCAUUCAGCUGCCUUGUUUUUGUCUUUUGGGAGCUCAAUUGCAGUACCUAAAAUGGCCUUAAAUAAUUCCUCUUCCAGUAAACCUUGUUAUGCUGAUGAUUUAAUUCUCAAGUCUUCUUCUUUUUCUUAUUCUUGAAGUAGAAAACUCAAAUUUGAUCACCACUCCGCUCCCUCUUCAAACUGUUUUGUUUUGUUUUCUUUUAUUUGUUUGUUUCUUAGUUUUCUUGAUUGUUGUCAUCAGCUUUUUUUGUCUCUUACAAAGACCUUUUGGGACUCUAUAAAUCCUAGAGAAAUGCUGUGUGUAUCACUGCCAGGGUUAGACGGUGGUGCUGUGAAAGCAUCUUCACCAGCUAUGGCUUCUUUGGAUAUUUACAGCAGGUGUGGUUUUGAUGGUGGUAUUGGAUGUUGGACUGGGAAUGGGAAAGGAAAGUGGAACAAAUUGGCUGCUGCUACUGCAAAGGCACCAAAGAAGAGGAGGUUCAACAUUUCUCCUAUGGCUUCCUCUGCUCUAGCUGAAACCCGAUGUACUUCUAGAGCCAAAUUUUAUCAGGAGGUUCUUAAUGAUGCCAGGGAAAAUUUUACCCAGGAGAUAUCUUUCCAAUCCAAGGACAGAGAUAUUUCUCUGGCAAAGGCUUUGCUUUAUGUGGCCUCUGAAGACGAGGCAUUUAUGGCUUUCAACCGGGAGAUGGAUGCAUAUUCUCUCCAAAGUGAGAGGAGAUCUGCUUCAUUGCCUUCUGAUGGCACAGAAUGGACAUGCGUGGAGGCCAUGCCUCUUGCUGGAAAGAAUAUGAAUGAGUGGAUGGUUGAGUUGGAUGUCAUUGCUAGAGAAGUGGAGGCAGAGCUAGUUUCGAGAGAAAUAGGAUGCGAUUUGGCUGAAGUUUUGGAUGCAGUGAACAUGGUUCUUUUUAGGUCAAGGGGAUUCAAAAGGUCAUCUGUACUUGUGGAUUCAAAGUGCGCGUACCUGCAUUCAGUGUUAAGCUCUGGAUAUUGUAGUGCAAUUUUGCUUAGCGUCAUUUAUAUUGAAGUCUGUCGAAGACUUAAUCUGACCAUUGUGGGAUCCCGAGUUGGGGAAGAUUUUUUAAUAUGGCCCCAAACUGGAAACCCUGAGGAGCUAUUCAAGGUUAUUUCUGGUCACAGCUUGUUUGGUAUUGUUAAUGGCAAGUGUGUCGACGACCCUAGAUCAAGGGCUUCUGACAUCAAUAGUAAUUCGUUGCCGGGGCUUGAGUUAGCAACAAACCGAGAUAUUAUCGGAAUAGCUUUGGCUAAUUUGAUGAGGCUUCACUGGAAACGUGCUUCAAGAGCAAAUCAUGGUUUGAUGCUGACUUCUCCCCUUAGAUCUGUUGAUCAUGCAGAUGAUAAGUCUAAUUGUCUGAAUGUCCCAUUGUUGCGGCCUCAAGAUUUGAGGUUCAAGAUGCUAAAUUGCAACCUUGGCAUGAGAAAGGGAGAAAUGAGAAUUUUGGACGCAUAUUUUUAUUCUUAUUUGAUUCUAACAUUCUACUAAGAUUCUAACAUUCCACUAAAAUAACCAUUUAACCCAUUGUGCUGAAAUAUGAUCGGUGCUUAUUCCUCCAAUUAAGUUUAUAAGAAAACAUAAUGGGGUUCCUGAUCCCUCACUGCUAUAGCUCUAUUUUGGUUAUAUAAGUCCUUUCUAUAUACUAUAUACUGAUCAAAUUGAAGAGAUACAUAUCUAUGCUCAUGCGCAUACAUUUAUGAUAUUUGAUAGUUGAGGCCAACUGUAUGGAGUUUUUUCUUUUCACUGAAUCCACUGAUUCUUCUUACAAAAUCAAGUUAUUCAUCUAACCAAAUGCCACUGUUUUUAAACAGGCAUACUUGGAAAAGGAAGAGGUACCGGGGGGGGGGGGGGUUUGGGGGCACAGAAGUAGCAAUAAUUAUGAGAGAUCACUUGCUUGAUACCGUGUUACAUGUGUCUAGCAGCAUUCUUCUGGUCUUUUACAUCAUAAAAUAUAUCAUCCAUUAUAACUGAAAUAUGUGAAGGUCUUCUGCAUCUAUAUUCUCUUUUAGGGGAGCAUCUCUGCUUCUGUUUCUGAUACCAUUAAGAACUCAUUAUAUUCCUGUUGUUUUCUUCCGUUAUACAUUCUACUAAGGUGGUUAUAAUUGGUACCUGUUAUUUCUUGGUUAAAAACAUGUAUGUAUAUCAAGUAACAAGUAAGUAAGAAUUGACGUAUUUACUGGACUGCAGUAUACUGUGCACCACACACGUUGGACAGGAAGAGUUUUUAACUAAUCAAACACUAGUUGGCAUUUGAUGAUGAUCUGUUAAGCAUUAAGUUUUUUCUGACAUGCAAAACCAUGCUAGUAGGAUUAAUGAUGAAUCAUUUUCUACUUUACUGUUCUCAAAGAGCCAAGAUAUUUAUUUGCACAUAAAUAAGAGCUGUGUUUAAAUUAAAGGUUUUCAGGUUGUCAUGCACAGAUGUCUGACCUUUCCCUAAGGGAUUAAAUUUGUGUGUAAUAUCUGUUCACUUAUAAUGACAUUAUGUCUCUCUGGAAUGGUACAAUACUUUCUAGGCUGGCCAUUAUGGCUUCAGAAAGAUUGCUCAUUCUGCAGCCACACAAUUGGGCUCUGAGGAGAGACCAUGGCAUGAUGUUGUAUUAUAGUAGGGAAUAUGAAGAGGCAGUUCAGGAGCUUAGCAUUUGCAUGGCCUUUGCCCCAGAAGAAGAGGCACAAGUUCUGGAACCUUUUGUUGAGAAAUUACACUUGUUGCGGGUUGAAUCAUCUUGGAAGUCUCGGGGAAAGAAAGGCCAUUUAACAGUUUCUUGAAUUGUUUGUAGAAAAGCUGUAGCUGUUUCUGCUUUAAGUUUGUAUCAAGAGCACAGCCAGUACUACUUUAGCUGUAAUCUCUUUUUUUGAAUUCUGUAAAUAUAUUCCUUAGACAAGCUAAAGUUGCUUCCUUUCUAGUUUUCUAUAAUGAGAUGAAUAACAGAACUAGAACAGCUUCAGGCUGUGAUCUAAAA
RNA transcript from Nicotiana attenuata, 3253 nucleotides. RefSeq lists it as uncharacterized. The record is from RefSeq and is a predicted model, not a curated record. NCBI's taxonomy places the organism in Eukaryota, Viridiplantae, Streptophyta, Magnoliopsida, Solanales, Solanaceae. The transcript is spliced from 9 exons.